AUGACUCUCGGCAACGGAUAUCUAGGCUCUCGCAUCGAUGAAGAACGUAGCAAAAUGCGAUACUUGGUGUGAAUUGCAGAAUCCCGUGAACCAUCGAGUCUUUGAACGCAAGUUGCGCCCAGAGCUGAGAGGCCGAGGGCAUGCCUGCCUGGG
RNAcentral lists this ribosomal RNA (153 nucleotides) under Elodea canadensis. Its description in RNAcentral is "5.8S ribosomal RNA". It matches the Rfam family "5.8S ribosomal RNA". Rfam says of the family: 5.8S ribosomal RNA (5.8S rRNA) is a component of the large subunit of the eukaryotic ribosome. The record is from RNAcentral. Lineage: Eukaryota; Viridiplantae; Streptophyta; Magnoliopsida; Alismatales; Hydrocharitaceae.